RNAcentral lists this ribosomal RNA (509 nucleotides) under uncultured bacterium. Its description in RNAcentral is "bacterial SSU rRNA". It matches the Rfam family "Bacterial small subunit ribosomal RNA", at positions 28 to 521 of the family's 1533-position model. The record is from RNAcentral.
GAUGAACGCUAGCUACAGGCUUAACACAUGCAAGUCGAGGGGCAGCAGGGAUUUAGCUUGCUAAAUUCGCUGGCGACCGGCGCACGGGUGCGUAACGCGUAUCCAACUUUCCCGUUACUCAGGGAUAGCCUUCCGAAAGGGAGAUUAAUACCUGAUGGUGUUUGAAAUUCGCAUGUUCUUCAAACUAAAGAUUUAUCGGUAACGGAUAGGGAUGCGUGACAUUAGAUAGUAGGCGGGGUAACGGCCCACCUAGUCUACGAUGUCUAGGGGUUCUGAGAGGAAGGUCCCCCCACACUGGAACUGAGACACGGUCCAGACUCCUACGGGAGGCAGCAGUGAGGAAUAUUGGUCAAUGGGGCGCGAGCCUGAACCAGCCAAGUAGCGUGAAGGAUGACUGCCCUACGGGGUUGUAAAACUUCUUUUGUUUGGGGAAUAAAUGAUACUACGUGUAGUAUUUUGCAUGUACCUUACGAAUAAGCAUCGGCUAAUUCCGUGCCAGCAGCCGCGGU